Molecule: long non-coding RNA, 226 nt
Filed under: Ictidomys tridecemlineatus (thirteen-lined ground squirrel)
Lineage: Eukaryota; Metazoa; Chordata; Mammalia; Rodentia; Sciuridae
Description: lncRNA (ENSSTOG00000031076.1)
Source: RNAcentral
AGGAAGAAUGAGUCAGGAUGGUAGUGAUUCUUGGCCACAGGAGGAUCUUCUGGGCUUUCCAAGGUGCUGGAUUAGUGGUAUGCACCACCAUGCCCGGCUGACAGCUGACUUUUAAACCAGUAGUUCACCCAGAAGUUAGAGGACUACCUGUCGGGGCUGCAAAGGAGUUCACCAUUGGAGGGGCCUGUGACCAGUGUGGUGGAGCCUGGGGCUUCUAUGGUGAAUU